RNAcentral lists this ribosomal RNA (440 nucleotides) under uncultured bacterium. Its description in RNAcentral is "partial 16S ribosomal RNA". It matches the Rfam family "Bacterial small subunit ribosomal RNA", at positions 338 to 795 of the family's 1533-position model. The record is from RNAcentral.
CCUACGGGAGGCAGCAGUGGGGAAUAUUGCACAAUGGGCGGAACCCUGAUGCAGCAACGCCGCGUGAAUGAUGAAGGACUCCGGGAUGUAAAGCUCUGUCUACAGGGAAGAAAAUGGCGGUACGUGACCAAGUAGGCAUGGCCAACAACGUGCCAGCAGGCGCGGCAAUACGGAGGGGGCAAGCGUUAUCCGGAUUGACUGGGUGUAAGGGGAGCGUAGACGGGAUGGUAAGUCAGUAGUGAAAGCCCGGGGCUCAACCAUGGGACUGCUUUGGAAACUGGCAUGCUGGAGUGCAGGAGAGGUAAGCGGAAGUCGUGGUGUAGCGGUGAAAUGCGUAGAUAUCAGGAGGAACACCGAUGGCGAAGGCGGCUUACUAGACUGUAACUGACGUUGAGGCUCGAAGGCGUGGGUAGCAAACAGGAUUAGAUACCCGAGUAGUC